UGUUAAAAUUUUUAUCCAUUUCUAUUACUAAAAACUAGUAUAGUUGAUAGAAUAAUCAGACAAUUACACUUGGCACACCAUGUUUAUCUCAUUCUAACAUCCAGGAUUAGUUUUUAACAAUAGAAAUUGAUGAAAUUCUCAAUA
This is a non-coding RNA of Gossypium hirsutum (cotton), 144 nucleotides long. Lineage: Eukaryota; Viridiplantae; Streptophyta; Magnoliopsida; Malvales; Malvaceae. The record is from Rfam.